CCCACCUAGGUCUCCCAAAGUGCUGGGAUUACAGGCAUCAGCCACUGCACCCGGCUGUCACUUUUAUUUUUGAUGUUCAAAUUAUAAGCUAAUACCUGUGAGACCAUAGAUUCUUUUUAUGCACUCAAUACACUUUCUUGUUUACCUUAUAUUUGUAUUAUGGAAAAGUUCUGUUUUUUCCACUUGUUUAUAUUUGAUAAUGAAGCCCUCUGUGCCUAUCACCAGCCUCAGCCGCCAUCAUCUCAUUACCAAGCUGGGUUAUUUUGAAACAAAUAUCUUCUAAUAUUUAGCCGGUGUUCAAAUUUCCCUAACCAUCCUAAAGGAAUGUUUAGAACAGUUGUUUCAUUGGAAACAAGGUCAAAACAAAUACAUUUUACAUUUUUAGGCCAGUCUUGAAAGUAAGUGUAAAACCAUGUGUGGGGUAGGAGGUGGGACUAGACUCUCAAGGUGGGGCCUGGAUACCAGACCCAGUUGAGGACUAGCUAAGACAGAUUCCACAGUGAAUAACACCAGGAGGUGGGAAUAUUAAGGUCCAUUGUGAAGGAUGGCUACCACAAUUUUUUGAUCAACUAGUUAUCAACCCUGACUGAAGCUGAGAGAGAUUUGUUUUUUCUUUUUUUUCUUUUUUUUCAGAGACAGGGUCUUGCUACGUUGCCCAGGCUGGACUCAAACUCCUGGGCUCAGGUGAUUCUUCUGCCUUAGCCUCCUGAGUAGCUGAGACUACAGAAACUCCUGGAGGGCAGAGGCAUGCCUGCCAUCUUCAUCAUUGCAUUACCACCACCCAACACUAUCGGGGGACCUGCCCUGAUAAUCAGUCUACAGGUGUAUCCAGCAGCUCCAGAGAGACAGCGACCAGCGAGAAGGGGCCAUGAUGAUGGAGGUGGUUUUGUCAAAACGAAAAUGGGGAUAUGUAGGGAAAAGAAAGAGAGAUCAGACUGUUACUGUGUCUACAUAGAAAGGGAAGACAUAAGAGACUCCAUUUUGAAAAAGACCUGUACUUUAAACAAUUGCUUUGCUGAGAUGUUGUUAAUCUGUAGCUUUGCCCCAGCCACUUUGCCCCAACCACUUUGACCCAAUCUGGAGCUCAUAAAAACAUGUGUUGUAUGAAAUCAAGGUUUAAGGCAUGUAGGGCUGUGCAGGACGUGCCUUGUUAACCAAAUGUUUGCAAGCAGUAUACUUGGUAAAAGUCAUCACCAUUCUCUCAUCUCAAUAAACCAGGGGCACAAUGCACUGUGGAAAGCCGCAGGGACCUCUGCCCUUGAAAGCUGGGUAUUGUCCAAAGUUCCUCCCCAUGUGAUAGUCUGAAAUAUGGCCUCGUGGGAUGAGAAAGACCUGACGGUCCCCCAGCGCGACACCCAUAAAAGAUCUGUGCUGAGGUGGAUUAGUCAAAGAGGAAAGACUUGCAGUUGAGAUAGAGGAAGGCCACUGUCUCCUGACUGCCCCUGGGAACUGAAUGUCUCGGUAUAAAACACGAUUGUACAUUUGUUCAGUUCUGAGAUGGGAGAAAAACCGCCCUAUGGUGGGAGGCGAGACAUGUUUACAGCAAUGCUGCCUUGUUAUCCUUUACUCCACUGAGAUGUCUGGGUGGAGAGAAACAUAAAUCUGGCUUACAUGCACGUCCAGUCAUAGUACCUUCCCUUGAACUUCAUUAUGACAUGGAUUCUAUUGCUCACGUUUGUUGCUGACCUUCUCCUUAUUAUCACCCUGCCCUCCUACUACAUUCCUUUUUGCUGAAAUAAUGAAGAUAAUAAUCAAUAAAAACUGAGGGAAUUCA
RNAcentral lists this long non-coding RNA (1774 nucleotides) under Homo sapiens (human). Its description in RNAcentral is "HSALNT0345312". Lineage: Eukaryota; Metazoa; Chordata; Mammalia; Primates; Hominidae. The record is from RNAcentral.